Non-coding RNA from Paramormyrops kingsleyae, 499 nucleotides. Lineage: Eukaryota; Metazoa; Chordata; Actinopteri; Osteoglossiformes; Mormyridae. The record is from RefSeq and is a predicted model, not a curated record.
ACUUUAUAGGUUCCAUAAGAGAAGAGAGCAAAACUGAGCAAAGUAGACCUGGUCAAGGUUGUGAAUCACCUCCAAAGAUUGACAAUGGCGAUGUGAUUGACAGUAAUGCAAUGAAAGCGACGUAUCAGUGUAAGAGACAUUAUACAUUAAGGGGCUCGAAAGACUUAGCAUGUCAAAAUGGCCAGUGGGAUGAACCUCCAGUUUGUUUAUCUCCGUGUUCAGUAUCAUCAAUACCUUCCGAACAUAAUCUUCAGUCUCCGAGGGGGACUACCUAUAUUCCAGAGGACAGCGAUGUACAGUUUCGUUGUAUAUCCGGAACUUACCGUUAUAAAGGAGGAUGGUUAUACACAGGCAUAGGACACUGUCGCAAUGGAAAAGUGACCUUCACGGGAUGCGGAUAUUACAACUGAAAAGGUGAUCGUGCCGAAUGAAGGUUUUCCCGCAUUCGUCACACUCGUACCGCUUGUCAUCGUGAUGGACCCUAAGAUGAAGUCUGACA